GAAAGGAGAACCAGGUAGAAAGGGAGCCAAAAGAUAUGUUUCCCUCAAACUUUUAAUAAUGCUACGGGGGGGGGGGGACGCCACAAUAGUAGAGAGAGUUAAAAUGAAGUAGUUCAAUAAUGAGAGGCUGAAAGAUAGCAAAGGGAGCUGGACAGAUGGCUCCGUGGUUAAGAACACUGGACAGAUGGCUCCGUGGUUAAGAACACUGGACAGAUGGCUCCGUGGUGAAGAACGCUGGACAGGUGGCUCCGUGGUGAAGAACGCUGGACAGGUGGCUCCGUGGUGAAGAACGCUGGUCAGGUGGCUCCGUGGUGAAGAACGCUGGUCAGGUGGCUCCGUGGUGAAGAACACUGGCUUCUCUUGUCAAGGACUGGGUUCCUUUCUCAGCACCCACAUGGUGGCUCAUGAUUGUCAUUAACUCUGGUCCCAGGAGAUCUGAUGCCCUCUUCAGGCUCCUGCAGGUACUGCUGUGUAUCCCAGGCUGGCCUGGCAUUUGAGGGAGUCCUCCUUUCUCUGCCUCCUGAGUGCU
Molecule: long non-coding RNA, 529 nt
Filed under: Cricetulus griseus (Chinese hamster)
Lineage: Eukaryota; Metazoa; Chordata; Mammalia; Rodentia; Cricetidae
Description: lncRNA (ENSCGRG00015040955.1)
Source: RNAcentral